UACGGGGGGGGCAAGCGUUGUUCGGAAUUACUGGGCGUAAAGGGCGCGUAGGCGGUCAUGCAAGUGAGAUGUGAAAUCCCCGGGCUUAACCUGGGAACUGCAUUUUAGACUGUGUGACUGGAGUACUGUAGAGGACAGUGGAAUUUCCGGUGUAGCGGUGAAAUGCGUAGAGAUCGGAAGGAACACCAGUGGCGAAGGCGACUGUCUGGCCUGUUCUUGACGCUGAGGCGCGAAAGCUAGGGGAGCAAACGGG
Molecule: ribosomal RNA, 253 nt
Filed under: uncultured bacterium
Lineage: Bacteria
Description: partial 16S ribosomal RNA
Rfam family: Bacterial small subunit ribosomal RNA
Source: RNAcentral